GUGGGGAAUAUUGCACAAUGGGCGAAAGCCUGAUGCAGCAACGCCGCGUGAAGGAAGAAGGCCCUUGGGUCGUAAACUUCUGUUCUAAGGGAAGAUAAUGACGGUACCUUAGGAGCAAGUCCCGGCUAACUACGUGCCAGCAGCCGCGGUAAUACGUAGGGGGCGAGCGUUAUCCGGAAUUAUUGGGCGUAAAGAGUACGUAGGUGGUUAUCUAAGCGAGGGGUUUAAGGCAAUAGCUCAACUAUUGUUUGCCCCGCGAACUGGGUGACUUGAGUGCUGGAGAGGAAAGCGGAAUUCCUGGUGUAGCGGUGAAAUGCGUAGAUAUUAGGAGGAACAUCAGUGGCGAAGGCGGCUUUCUGGACAGUAACUGACACUGAGGUACGAAAGUGUGGGGAGCAAACAGGAUUAGAUACCCCUGUAGUCC
This 424-nucleotide ribosomal RNA is filed under the name uncultured bacterium. RNAcentral's name for it is "partial 16S ribosomal RNA". It matches the Rfam family "Bacterial small subunit ribosomal RNA", at positions 354 to 796 of the family's 1533-position model. The record is from RNAcentral.